CCUACGUGUGGCAGCAGUGGGGAAUAUUGCACAAUGGGGGAAACCCUGAUGCAGCGACGCCGCGUGAGCGAGGAAGGAUUUCGGUAUGUAAAGCUCUAUCAGCCGGGACGAAAAAAGACGGUACCUGACUAAGAAGCACCGGCUAACUACGUGCCAGCAGCCGCGGCAAUACGUAGGGGGCAAGCGUUAUCCGGAUUUACUGGGUGUAAAGGGAGCGUAGACGGCAAGGCAAGCCAGAAGUGAAAGGGCAGGGCUCAACCCUGUACAUGCUUUUGAAACUGUGGUGCUAGAGUGCAGGAGAGGUAAGUGGAAUGCGUGGUGUAGCGGUGAAAUGCGUAGAUAUUAGGCGGAACACCAGUGGCGAAGGCAGCUUACUGGACUGUAACUGACGUUGAGGCUCGAAAGCGUGGGGAGCAAAUAGGAUUAGAUACCCGAGUAGUC
Molecule: ribosomal RNA, 441 nt
Filed under: uncultured bacterium
Lineage: Bacteria
Description: partial 16S ribosomal RNA
Rfam family: Bacterial small subunit ribosomal RNA
Source: RNAcentral